This 465-nucleotide ribosomal RNA is filed under the name uncultured bacterium. Its description in RNAcentral is "partial 16S ribosomal RNA". It matches the Rfam family "Bacterial small subunit ribosomal RNA", at positions 338 to 795 of the family's 1533-position model. The record is from RNAcentral.
CCUACGGGAGGCAGCAGUAGGGAAUCUUCCACAAUGGGCGAAAGCCUGAUGGAGCAACGCCGCGUGGAUGAAGAAGGUCUUCGGAUCGUAAAACCCUGUUGUUAGAGAAGAAAGUGCGUGAGAGUAACUGUUCACGUUUCGACGGUAUCUAACCAGAAAGCCACGGCUAACUACGUGCCAGCAGCCGCGGUAGUACGUAGGUGGCAAGCGUUAUCCGGAUUGAUUGGGCGUAAAGGGAACGCAGGCGGUCUUUUAAGUCUGAUGUGAAAGCCUUCGGCUUAACCGGAGUAGUGCAUUGGAAACUGGGAGACUUGAGUGCAGAAGAGGAGAGUGGAACUCCAUGUGUAGCGGUGAAAUGCGUAGAUAUAUGGAAGAACACCAGUGGCGAAAGCGGCUCUCUGGUCUGUAACUGACGCUGAGGUUCGAAAGCGUGGGUAGCAAACAGGAUUAGAUACCCUUGUAGUC